CUUUAAAACCUAGAUAUUGAAAAUUAAUUUUAGGGUUUGUCAUUCUUUUUAAUACUGUUUCGUUUUUGAUGCAACAAGUUUUUUUAUUGAAUUUGUUGGUAUAAAAUCUACUUCAAAAAGGAAUUGGUUCUAUCGAAUGUUUUGUAAGUCUAAUGUUUAAAACAUUAAAUAAAGAAUUUGGAUAUAAAGUAAAUAGAUCAUGUGUCACAACAUCUUAUCAUUUGAAUCUGUUAUCUUUAUCUUUUAAAUGGCCAAGUGUUAAAAAACUGUGAUUUGGGUAUAAGGAAUUUCCAAUGUUCUUCAACACCUGUCCAGCCAUGUGCCACGACAUCUUAUGUGAAUUCAUUAUCUUUUCAUUUUAGAUGACCAACUGUCAAAAAUCUGUAAUUUGUAAAAUAAUUUAUACGUAUUUUGUAAAUAUUAUAAUUGCUUAUGUAGGUAUUUACAUCUAUUUUUAAGGUUACGUUAUAUAUGAAAUAUAUUUUAUCAAUUUUGGCAUUCUAUUUAGCAUUAUGUUUUGCUUGUAUAUAUAAAUCUUAAAUGUUUUGCUGAUUUUUUUCUUUUAAAAUUUUAAAUGUUGUUUGAUUAUUAUUUUUUCAUUUUCAGAUUGAUUAGAAGAAGAAUAUAAAAAGCAAAGAAGGUAUCUUGUCAUUUAUUUAAUUUUAAGAUUUUAAAUCUAGGUUCUCAAAAUAACUUUGAUUUUAGAAAUGUCCAUACUCAAUAAUUCAUUCUCUGCACACUUGGAUCUCCUUUCUGUAUUUUUUUACAUAUUUGGGCAUUAUUUUGCUGAUUUGCUUGUAUUUUUUUUUCAUAUUUGGGGUUUUCAUUUUUAUUAGCAUCAUGUUGUUGUUGCUGAUUUGCUUGCUGAAUUCCUUAGCAUUUCAUUUAGCAUUAUGUUUGAUUAUAUAUAAAUCGUAAUGUUUGUUGCUGAUUUAUUUGCUUGCUAAUGUUUGUAUUUUGCUUCUAUAAAUAAAUCUUAAAUGUUUUGCUGAUUUUUUUCUUUUAAAAUUUUAAAUGUUGUUUGAUUAUUAUUUUUUUCUUUUUCAGAUUGAUUAGAAGAAGAAUAUAAAAGGCAAAAAAGGUAUCUUGUCAUUUAUUUAAUUUUAAGAUUUUAAAUCUAGGUUCUCAAAAUAACUUUGAUUUUAGAAAUGUCCAUACUCAAUAAUUCAUUCUCUGCACACUUGGAUCUCCUUUCUGUAUUUUUUUACAUAUUUGGGUAUUAUGUCGCUGAUUUGCUUGUAUUUUUUUUUCAUAUUUGGGGUUUUCAUUUUUAUUAGCAUCAUGUUGUUGUUGCUGAUUUGCUUGCUGAAUUCCUUAGCAUUUCAUUUAGCAUUAUGUUUGAUUAUAUAUAAAUCUUAAAUGUUUGUUGCUGAUUUAUUUGCUUGCUAAUGUUUGUAUUUUGCUUCUAUAUAUAAAUCUUAAAUGUUUUGCUGAUUUUUUUUUUUAAAUUUUAAAUGUUGUCUGAUUAUUUUUUUUUUUUUUUCCAGAUUGAUUAGAAGAAGAAUAUAAAAGGCAAAGAAGGUAUCUUGUCAUUUAUUUAAUUUUAAGAUUUUAAAUCUAGGUUCUCAAAAUAACUUUGAUUUUAGAAAUGUCCAUACUCAAUAAUUCAUUCUCUGCACACUUGGAUCUCCUUUAUGUAUUUUUUUACAUAUUUGGGCAUUAUGUUGCUGAUUUGCUUGUAUUUUUUUUUCAUAUUUGGGGUUUUCAUUUUUAUUAGCAUUAUGUUGUUGUUGCUGAUUUGCUUGCUGAAUUCCAUAGCAUUUCAUUUAGUAUUAUGUUUGAUUAUAUAUAAAUCUUAAAUGGAUUUCAUAUAUUGGAUUUCAUAUAUUGGAUAUCAUAUAUUUUCUUUGUGAGUAAUUUUUUUAUUUUAAUUAUUUUUCUGUUUUUAUUAUUUUUAAGUGUUGAAUAUUUUGUUGUAUUCACAUAUUAUAAAUGACACCCAAAAAAACAUCGGCUAG
This 1958-nucleotide long non-coding RNA is filed under the name Zostera marina. Its description in RNAcentral is "long non-coding RNA (ZMAR_LNC003485)". Lineage: Eukaryota; Viridiplantae; Streptophyta; Magnoliopsida; Alismatales; Zosteraceae. The record is from RNAcentral.